AUGCCCCCGGCCCGUCCUGCUGCUCACCUCCUCCUCACAUAUGCAUCAACAAAACAUGGCAGCCGCUGCAGUCCACAUCGUUCAACAGUAGCAGGUCAACUCCUCCAAGGUCACACAAGCUCGCCGCCAAAAGCCCACGGUCUAUUGAGCCAGAGAUGGCACUGGACGCUGCCGUGGCCGGUCAUCUGGAUCGGAGCCACCAACCCACGUCCGCAUAGAGGGGGCUGCUGCAGGGAGCGUCGACUUGCAGCUGGAGGAGGUGUCGACCUAAAGCUCGCCACCCACGGCACUAUGACCUACUGCCACAACGGUCCACCACCUACAGCCGGCGCCGCAGCGCCUCGGCCGUUCAACUAUGCCACCUCAGGCCGUUCAACUAUGUCCCCCGCAAUCGUCGACUCCAUUUGCUUCUUUCCGCUGUACGUGGCCAGCUCCAUGAGCUACUCGCCUCUACUCUGUUUAGAAGAGCGUCGUGAGCUCGUCCAACUAUGGCUGCUUCUCUGCUGUGUCAUGCCGUUAAAUAAUGCCAUGCAAUCAUCAGGUGAAAACCUGCAGGUGACAACUCCAGUUGUGGCCAUUUCUGCUCGGGCAGAUCCCACUCCUGUUGAGAAUAGCAGCACACAAAAGGCUCAAGUUGUCGAUUAG
RNAcentral lists this ribosomal RNA (645 nucleotides) under Triticum aestivum (bread wheat). RNAcentral describes it as "partial small subunit ribosomal RNA". Lineage: Eukaryota; Viridiplantae; Streptophyta; Magnoliopsida; Poales; Poaceae. The record is from RNAcentral.